CGAACGCUGGCGGCGUGCUUCACACAUGCAAGUCGAACGGUGAAGCGCCUUCCUUUUUGGUGGGUGUGGAUGAGUGGCGAACGGGUGAGUAACACGUGAGUAACCUGCCCCCUUCUUCUGGAUAACCGCAUGAAAGUGUGGCUAAUACGGGAUAUUCUGGGUCUGUCGCAUGAUGGGUCUGGGAAAGAUAUUGUUUCGGUGGGGGAUGGGCUCGCGGCCUAUCAGCUUGUUGGUGGGGUGAUGGCCUACCAAGGCGGUGACGGGUAGCCGGCCUGAGAGGGUGGACGGUCACACUGGGACUGAGACACGGCCCAGACUCCUACGGGAGGCAGCAGUGGGGAAUAUUGCACAAUGGGCGCAAGCCUGAUGCAGCGACGCCGCGUGAGGGAUGGAGGCCUUCGGGUUGUGAACCUCUUUCGCCAGUGAAGCAGGCCUGCCUCGUUUGUGGGUGGGUUGACGGUAGCUGGAUAAGAAGCGCCGGCUAACUACGUG
RNAcentral lists this ribosomal RNA (492 nucleotides) under uncultured bacterium. Its description in RNAcentral is "partial 16S ribosomal RNA". It matches the Rfam family "Bacterial small subunit ribosomal RNA", at positions 30 to 507 of the family's 1533-position model. The record is from RNAcentral.